This is a non-coding RNA of Paramuricea clavata, 357 nucleotides long. Lineage: Eukaryota; Metazoa; Cnidaria; Anthozoa; Malacalcyonacea; Plexauridae. The record is from the annotation of a GenBank genome assembly.
CUAAAUCAUGGUCACUGAUGUGAAAUAGUCUGGAUUCAUCUUGUCUUGUGUGUGCUGUAUGCAGUAUGCAAAUCAGUCUUUACGGAUUGCAGACUAGUUAAAUUGACAAUGUAUUAUUACAUCAGCUCUUGAUGUGGUUAAAUACAUUUAAAUUAAGCAAGGUUAACAGCGUUUGUAUUAUGCAGGCCACAUCCGCUGCGGGGAAUCUGUGACAUCAUAUCGAUCAAAGGGGGUUGUUUCAUGCCUUGUGAUCAGUGCUUCGGUCUGGGUAUUCAUUCUACCAUUGUAUGCUUUGCCUAGCUGCAGCAAGUUUUGCGCUUCGAUACCUUUUCCCGACCCACCCACCCAUGUUCAUUC